GGAGAGAUGCGAGAGCGGUUGAAUCGGGCGGACUCGAAAUCCGUUGUGCCGGAUUCCGGCACCCAGGGUUCGAAUCCCUGUCUCUCCG
This 88-nucleotide transfer RNA is filed under the name Olavius algarvensis spirochete endosymbiont. It matches the Rfam family "tRNA". Rfam says of the family: Transfer RNA (tRNA) molecules are approximately 80 nucleotides in length. The record is from Rfam by way of RNAcentral. Lineage: Bacteria; Pseudomonadati; Spirochaetota; Spirochaetia; Spirochaetales.